UGACUUUGAAGUAAAUUAUAGAGUUAUACUUAUUGAACUAAAAUUAUGAAUAAGCUAAUCUAAACAUAGUCUAAGUUAUGAAUUUUUUUUACUAUUUUGUUUCUUUUCUAAGAUAAGGUUUUUGCACUAUCAAUUUUUGAAUUUUUUUUUGCUCUCUAAGAUAAGCUUUGCAUCGUCAAUUUUUGAACUACCGUUUAAGUUGAAUACAUCAAUUUAAAAAAAAUAUAGUUUAACUUAUGAUAUUUCAAGCAAUGUUUAUAAAUAUCAUGAAAUGUUGAACAUUAAUGUUGAUUUUGAUGAUCUUAUUGUGAAACCUUAAUGUGACUUUGAUUUAAUU
This 337-nucleotide long non-coding RNA is filed under the name Brassica rapa (field mustard). RNAcentral describes it as "long non-coding RNA (BRAP_LNC002857)". Lineage: Eukaryota; Viridiplantae; Streptophyta; Magnoliopsida; Brassicales; Brassicaceae. The record is from RNAcentral.